This 21-nucleotide non-coding RNA is filed under the name Caenorhabditis elegans. The record is from RNAcentral. Lineage: Eukaryota; Metazoa; Nematoda; Chromadorea; Rhabditida; Rhabditidae.
UUGAGAAAUUCAACAAUGAUA